UAGAUUAGUUUAGUUAUUCAUAAUUGUAUAAACAAUCAUAGUCAUAUUCAAAAUCAUUAAACUACAUAUUAAAGAAGAACAGAGAGAAAAACUCUUGUGAUAUGUGAUCCAUAGUGUUUGUAUCCUUUUGCCUCUCAAUGAUGUUUCCCUAUAGAAACUAAGUUUUGGAGGUAUUUAUAAGGUAUGGUUAAAGUAUACACGUCCAAAAUUAAGGAGGAAAUAAAAGUGGCUCGGAUAAAUAUCGUCGGCACGGGGCAUUGUCAGAGGUACCAACAUUACUCAGCAAGACACCAUCAGAGGCACCAACAUUUCCCUGCGAAGCACUGUCAGAGGCGCCAAUGACAAUGCCCUAGACAAAGACUUGCGUUAUCUUCUUUUAUUGCUCCAUUUUGUAGCUUUGACAUACCAUUUCGUGUAAUGUUUCUCCACUUCUUGUCCAAGCAUUCCUACACGUAAAAUAAACUCUAUUAAGCUCUAUUAUCGCAUGAAUUAGCAUCCAAAUAAUAAACAAGUAAGGUGAAUAACGUCAAAAUAUAUGAAAUUAUAGCACGACAUCAGUUUACCGCAUAACAAAAGUAUAAUCUCAUCAUAAAAUAUUUCAUAAGUAAUACAAUGUCUAGUCUGUCAUACAAGCAAUAAUAAUUAUUAUAUAAUUUGAUGUGAUAUAUGGUUGGUCUUAUUAAACUUUAUACGUAGCUAAUCGUGACAUAUAAGUAGGGGUGUUCAUAAAAAUCCGAAAAAUCUAACCAUAACAAAAAUCGAAUCAAACCGACCAAAAUAAUUUGUAUUUUUUGGGUUUGGUUUGUUUUUGAAAUUUAAGAACCAAACAAAUUUGGAUUUUGCUUUGAUUUUAAUCAAAAACUAAUCGAAAAGUCGAACCAAACCGACUAUAAAAGUAGCUAUUUAAAAUUUAUUAUUACAUCUAUAUAUAUUUAUAUUUUUAUAUAAAGUUUCUAAACUUUUAUGGUACAUGUUAAUUGUUUGCACUUUAGUCUAGUUCUUUUCUAUUAUAACAAUCUAAUUCUUUGCCUUUUUGCAUUCUAAUUGCAGUUUUCUUUUGUUAAAUACAAGAAUCUAUUUCAUGUUAAAAAUAUUCUAUUUUUAAUUGAGUUCUUAAAUUAUUCAUCACUAUUUGAUUUAAUUAUUAUCAAUAUAUCUUGGUAAAUGAUGGAUUUCUCAAAGAGUAAUUGGUUUAAUAGUGUUACGUGUUAGGACCAAAAAAUCAAGUGUCAUGUGGAAGCUAGUAAAGCAAACCAAUCAGACAACAAAGGACAAAUAUACCAAAAAAGAUACAAACAUAUAACGUGGUUCGGUCUAUUGACCUAUGUCCACGACGGAGAUGUCACAGCCUAAUUUAGGAUCAUGACCGACGCUUAGGAGCAAGUGCUCCCAAAUAAGCCUCAUCGACCAAACAAGUUAUAAGCCUCAUUCAUGAAGUAUUUCCAACACAAUAAUACUCACUUCAUCUCCAAGUAUACGAUAGGAAAGUCUAAUACGAGUCACUAGUCUAUAUCAAUAAAAGAAUAUUUAUGACACUCAUAAAAAUGACUAUGGAGCGACUCUAAGAGUUUUAAGAAAGAGACUAUAACAAACAAAUAACAAUCUUUGCCCACCCGAAUAAAUGCGGGGCUCAUCAGGAAUUGUCAACUUAUGUACUCUAACUAACGGAAUUCUCGCCUGUGUCUACUGUUGUCUCUAUAAAAAUAAUAGCGGGGAGUGAAUCGCUAGCUGAGUGAGUAAUAAUAUUUAACCACGACUAUUUUUAAUUGGGGACAAGUCAGAAAACAUGCUUGUAUAUUAAUCAAAAAAUAAAAUGUCCUUUUUUAAAACGGUGAUAAUAAUUAGUCUCAUUGUGUGUUUCCUGUAACAAAACCAAUUUAAUAAUUCAAUAAUAAACUUGGUAAAUAUUGUGCCAUAGAAAUCUUUAUAUUUGGGAGGUUUUCAGAAAAGGAUCAUGUAAUUUGUAUCACUGUGUGGACCCCUUCGUAAAAGGAGUCAAAUAUAACUGUAGGUCCCUACUCGAGAGAAAAUUGUAACUGUAUGCUAGUUCUACCUUCCCACUAGCGAGGGCUAUAAUUUUACUCGGUAAUCGCUAAAUACAAAGUGCACCAGGUCUAAAGAACCUGUCGUUAGCUACGAGAUCCUUCAAAGUCUCCUCUCAUUCAUACUUUUCUUUGUAAACAGUAAAUCUUCACAUGGAAGCAUUUUCAAACCAGUUUAGGGCAUUUCAAUUCUUAUCAAAUCAUGUAAUUCAAUUUCGGUAACGAUAAUCAUAUUUCUAGUAACAGUAAAAUAUGUCUAGUAACAGUGAGAACAUUUUAAAUAACUGUAAACAUCUCAAGUAAAUUAUUCAGUACCAUAUCAAGUAAAGGACUUAUCCCACAUGCAAUUUCAAACAUUCGAUAACAUAUUUUAUUUUCAAAAUAAUGUAUAAACCAUGCAGGAGGUUAUGAAAUCACAAAUUGCAGUAAGAUUACUACUCACAGUAUUCGUGUCGAAAUAUCAAACGCGUCACUUCGAGCAAUCCGUAUGGCUUCUUCUAUCACCUAAAUUGUAUCAAUCUAUGUAUCAAUUCCAUGAACCAUCAACAUACCAAUUCACAAUAACCAACCUUUACGCUUUCUUGUUUAACUCUUAAUUUGCCAAAUAAGAUUUUUCUACUCUACCUGAGAAUAUUUGCCAAAUAAGAUUUUUCUACUCUACCCGAGAAUACUUCUAUACCUUAAUCAUGCUCUUUAAAUCAUAUAUAAAUUUCUUAGCCUAAGGCAAAGUUACUGUAGAAGGAAUAUGAUUCCAGAUUACUUUAAAAAUUUCUAGAGCUCGUUUAAGCUAAUAACUACACUAUGUCCUUAUGGAAGUAGCUUUUUGUCACAAUUUCUUCACUCAAAUUGAUUCAUAAUCUAUCAAUUUCAACCUUUUAUAUAAUUUACUCGUUAAAUUUUAUACCAAGUUAAAAACUUGUGUGUUUGGCCCUCUUUGUGGUAUAUAAUUAGACUAAUAUGUAGUGAGUGAAUAAAAGAAGAAAACUUAAGAAAUCUGUCAAGAAGGCUCAAAUAAGGAGUUUAAACGAUACCUGAAGAAUCGAAAGUUAUUCGAAUUUGCAGAUGUUGCUGAAUGUUGAUACCAUUCUUUGCUUUACAAUUUUUUUCAGUGUCAAACUUUUGCAUGUUUUUUUUCUCCUUUGCUAAACAGGGAUAACUUCACUGCUUUUUAUUCUCUCCAACUCGUUGAACUCCUUCAAUCUUCUAAUUGUUAUUUUUU
RNAcentral lists this long non-coding RNA (3261 nucleotides) under Nicotiana tabacum (common tobacco). RNAcentral's name for it is "long non-coding RNA (NTAB_LNC008366)". Lineage: Eukaryota; Viridiplantae; Streptophyta; Magnoliopsida; Solanales; Solanaceae. The record is from RNAcentral.